Molecule: long non-coding RNA, 750 nt
Organism: Myotis brandtii (Brandt's bat)
Lineage: Eukaryota; Metazoa; Chordata; Mammalia; Chiroptera; Vespertilionidae
Exons: 4
Source: RefSeq, a predicted model, not a curated record
CCCGGAUUUCUUCACGGUGGGCCCAGGUCACAGAGUCCAGCACAGGCUGGCGCGGAGCAGGAGAGCAGCAAAGUGACCCAUCUGUGUGGCUGCUCCUUUCUCAUCGGAACAGUUCGCCCUCCCGGCUUGGUCUCCCCAGCCCCAUCAAGCCUGUUGGCUUCCUGAUCUCACUCGGGUCCCUUGGUUUUGAGGAGCCACUAUUUUUCAUUUCCCAAAACCUUCAGAGAGGGGUUGGGAAGGGAGACGCCGACAUCCAGGUUGGAGCCAAGUACCAACUGCAAAGACCUUGGGGUGCAGGGUGGAAUGAGUGCAGCUGCCCGCCGGGUCUCUGCUGCAGUAAGAAACGGAAGCGCUGAGGAGGGUGGAAGGAGAAAGGGAGUGUGGGCAACCAGUGGCUUUGGGUUUACAGAGGGAUCUCGCCAUGGAGAUUCCAGCCUGCCUAGUUCUGGGUCCCUGGUCCGAUGCCUUUAGAUUGUUCUCUUUCUUGACAGCACAUCACACACACACACACACACACACACACGCACGCACGCACACACACACACACACACAGCCAAUCACCACCUCAAACCCCCACUCAAGUCCACCUCCUUCCGAAAGGCUCUCACAACCUCCACCUCACUUUGAUCAUUUUGUUUCCAAUUUCCCUCUGAGCGCUAUGAGCUGUCUUCAAUCUUUUCUAUAUUUUAUUGUUUAGUUAUUACCUGUAGUACUUUCAACCCCACAGAUAAUAAACUCCUUUAUGGCAGA